CUCAGAGAUCUGCCUGCCUCUGUCCCUUGAGUGCUGGGGCUAAAGCAAUGCGCCAACACUGCAGCAGUAUUUUAUUUUAUUUUUUCUUUUAAGGAUUUGCAUUUUAUAUAGCCCUGACUAGACUGGAACUUGCUAUGACGGUCAGGCUGGCCUCUAAGUCACAGAGAUCCACCUACUUCUGCUUCACAGGAAAUGGGAUUUAAAGUGUGUACUACCGCACCCAGCCACAAAAAAAAGUUUGAUAGGAUCUGUAUUGUUUAAUAGUGAUUUAGAUUGCAGAAACAAGUAUUACCUGUGGGAACCCCUAAAGAGAAAGUGUUCAUUUAGUUAAGUUUUGUUUGCCCCAUGAAGUCUUUGAGCUUCACUUGUCUAUCUUGGGGUGUAAUCUCAGCACGCAGGAGGCAGAGCUAAGUGGAUUUCUGUGAGGCCAGCCUGGUCUACAAAGCUACACAGAGAAACCUUGUCUUGGGGAGAAAAAAAAAAGUGUGAGUGUGUUGGUGCAUGCCUGUAAUUGUGCUGCGGCAGAGGACCAUGAAUUAAAAAAUUGAGUGAGGGUUGCAGAGAGCUGGAGAGAUUCUACUGGCAAAAAAAGUGAGAAAGCUGGCUAGUGCGGGGAGCCGAGUGAGGCAAUGGGGCCACAGACACCUUGGUGUGGUGUGCAUGGGAAGGCAACCAACAGCUCUGUUCUAAUCAGCAGAGCAAGCAGUGUGUUAAUGAAGGGAAGUGGGUACAGCCUGGGACAGUGAAAGUCCCUCUGAAAGUGAGCCAGUGAGAUGUGCUGGAUGCACCUUGGCAGUGGUGUGAAGAAAUGGGUUGGGUGGUGUUUAAGACAGUAUGAAAGUAUGUAUGAAAUGAGGUAUAUAAUACAGCAUUUGUGAAAUUCCUGUAAGCAAAACACUGAAAUGCAUUUCACAGAAAAACAUAGAAACAAAAUGAUGCCCAUUAAACACGUGGAAUGGUUGCCCAGGUGGGAAAGGAGGAAUGCUGUCAAAAGUGGGGGACCUCGGAAGAGCUGGGUGGACAUGGUGCCACGGCGCUUCCUAAGGAGAACCUCGCAUGGGCCUCGGUCAGAGUUUAACAGCUGCUGCCCUGGGGGGAACGAAAAAACCCAGAUCUGCAGUAUAGCGAUUUCCAAAAGCUACUCCCUGGCUGAUUUUGAGCAAUCGAGGUAGCCUGGAGCUGCACUUGCCCUCUGCUGGGAAUGUAACUUCCUGUCACUGAUCCCUGGAGACCAGCAAGCAGUUGUAGACUGGGAAUUCUCCGACAAUGAAGCCAACCUUCACAGAACCAAGAACAGGAUUUCCAACCUCUGCACUGCUGACAUGUUGUUCCUUGGACCAACUUUGCUUGGACAUUAAGGGAUGUUCAGCAUCCUGUCCAUCAUGACAACUAAAACUAUAAUUAUUGCCAAAUGCCCCCAGGGAAAGUGAACAAGUAACCCCAAGUUGAGAACCACCACGUUGGAGUGUGUCCAAGGGUUGUCUUUGAUCAAGUAAUUAUGUUGGUGACAUUUUUACGGAGGAUUCCUUGCCGUGACCACAUUAAAAGGCAGCUGUCGUUAGCUUCAGUAGGAGUGCCGUGAAUCACCAUGAAAUGCUCUUAAAUUUUUGCUAGUUUUCAUAAAUAUGUUCCAAGUCCCUCACACUGAAGGCAACUCUUGAGAGAUCAAUCUUUUGCCACAUGCUAUAACCAAACUGACAUCAUUUGUGAUCAGAUGCCUUACUUUGGUUUUUAAAACAUUUUAAGCGUUGUUUUAGUUGUGUGUCUUUAGUUGUGUGUAUGGGGAGUUUGGGUGCUCUGAGACAUUGUAUACCCUGGAGCUGGAGUUACAGGCCAUUUGGGCCACCUGGUAUGAGUGCUGGGAACUAAACCUGGGUCCUCCACAAGAGUAGACUAGCUCUUCACCACUGAGCCGUCUCUCUGGCCCUCAGUUUGAUUAUUCUAUUUUACUGUUUUCCCUUCCUGUGACAGGGUCUCAUUAUGUAGUUCUGGCAGUCCUGGAACUCACUGUGUAGAUAGACCAGGCUGGUCUGGAAUUCACAAAAAGCCAUCUGACUGCUUCUGCCUCCCAAGUGCUGGGAUUAAAAGUGAGUGUCACUACACCUGGCCCAUAGUUUGAUUUUUAAAAACUGUAGAUGGAGGGCUGGAGAGAUGGCUCAGAGGUUAAGAGCACCGACUGCUCUUCCAGAGGUCCCGAGUUCAAUUCCCAGCAACCACAUGGUGGCUCACAGCCAUCCAUUAUGAGAUCUGGUGCCCUCUUCUGAUGUGCAGAUAUACAUGGAAGUAGAAUGUUGUAUACAUAAUAAAUAAAAUCUUAAAAAAAAAAACUGUAAAUGGAAAUGGUAUGCAGUUAAUCCAGGUAUACAUUACUAACAGCCUUUCAAAUGGCUGUCUCUGUGCCAGCACAGCAGUGCACAACUGGAAUCUCCAGGUAGACGGCCAAGGCUGGAGGAACUUGUAGUCAAGGCCAGCCACAGUUACGUGCUGAAGCUUUAAAAUAGCUAAAGGCUUCUGCUGCUCUGCUUUCUCCUUCCAGUAAGGACUUUGAGAUGCAGAGCGAUAUGGUCAAGUUUUGGUCAUGGUGGGCUGUUUUUAGAAAACCUGCUGGACUGUGUGCCCUCACCAUCCAAGGCUUCUCGAGUUUUCUACUGCCUUUGUAGAGAGAAGCUGAGGAACAGCGAGGGGAGAGAGGUGUUGGAGGAGAUGAAGUAUGGCUGUAUCAUUAAUUAUAACUUUGUCACUACCUCACAUGAAAAUUAAGCAUACUAUAUCUUUGCUGAUGACUCAGAAAAGCCAAAAAUAAC
RNAcentral lists this long non-coding RNA (2804 nucleotides) under Cricetulus griseus (Chinese hamster). Its description in RNAcentral is "lncRNA (ENSCGRG00015036913.1)". The record is from RNAcentral. Lineage: Eukaryota; Metazoa; Chordata; Mammalia; Rodentia; Cricetidae.